Molecule: ribosomal RNA, 484 nt
Filed under: uncultured bacterium
Lineage: Bacteria
Description: partial 16S ribosomal RNA
Rfam family: Bacterial small subunit ribosomal RNA
Source: RNAcentral
AUUGAACGCUGGCGGCAGGCCUAACACAUGCAAGUCGAGCGGAAGAAGGGAGCUUGCUCCUGGAUUCAGCGGCGGACGGGUGAGUAAUGCCUAGGAAUCUGCCUGGCAGUGGGGGAUAACGUCCGGAAACGGGCGCUAAUACCGCAUAAGUCCUGAGGGAGAAAGGGGGGGAUCUUCGGACCUCACGCUAUCAGAUGAGCCUAGGUCGGAUUAGCUAGUUGGUGGGGUAAAGGCCUACCAAGGCGACGAUCCGUAACUGGUCUGAGAGGAUGAUCAGUCACACUGGAACUGAGACACGGUCCAGACUCCUACGGGAGGCAGCAGUGGGGAAUAUUGGACAAUGGGCGAAAGCCUGAUCCAGCCAUGCCGCGUGUGUGAAGAAGGUCUUCGGAUUGUAAAGCACUUUAAGUUGGGAGGAAGGGCAGUAAGUUAAUACCUUGCUGUUUUGACGUUACCAACAGAAUAAGCACCGGCUAACUUCGUG